Molecule: long non-coding RNA, 1329 nt
Filed under: Mytilus galloprovincialis (Mediterranean mussel)
Lineage: Eukaryota; Metazoa; Mollusca; Bivalvia; Mytilida; Mytilidae
Source: RNAcentral
AAAUUUGGAAGUCAAUUAUUAUACUAAAUUAUAUACUUCAACAAAACCUGAUACAGAAAAGGUAACACAAUACUUUGAAACUAUCAAAGAAAGUAAAAUAAUAAAUGAAUCUGAAAGUAAUACAUGCGAGGGAAAAAUUACUAUAAGUGAAUGCACAGAGGCUAUAUUUAAGAUGAAAUUAAACAAGGCCCCAGGGCUGGAUGGACUGAACGUGGAGUUUUAUAGAAAAUUUUGGGAACAGAUUAAAGAUUUCAUAGUACAAGUUUUCAACUAUUGCUAUAAAAAAGGAGAAUUAACAAAUUCCGAAAAAAUUGGAGCCAUAUCUCUUUUGUUUAAAAAAAAUGAUCCCCUCUCCCUUGAUAACUAUAGACCUAUUACAUUAUUAAACUAUGACGUUAAAUUACUAGCUUAUGCCUUAGCGCAACGAUUAAAAUCAGUACUACCAAAAAUUAUUCACUCUGAUCAAAAAGGUUACAUAAAAAACAGAUACAUAGGUUUUAACAUAAGACAAAUCCAAGACAUUAUUGAUUAUUCUGAAAAAUUUAAUGUAGAUGGUGCAAUUUUAUUUUUAGACUUUACUAAAGCUUUCGACUCACUUGAGUGGUGCUUUAUGUUUGAAUCUUAAAAAAAAAUUGGUUUUAAAAAAGAAUUCAUAAAAUGGGUUGAAACUAUGUAUACAGACAUAAAAGGAUGUAUUUUAAAUAAUGGAUGGGUGUCUGCCCCCUUCAAUACAUUUCGUGGGAUUAGACAAGGAUGUCCGUUAUCCUCGUUAAUUUUUGUAUUGUGUGUUGAAAUAAUGGCAAUAAAAUUAAGAGAAAAUAAAGAAUUAAAAGGAUUUGAAAUCAAAUUAGAUGGAAAAUCUUGCUCACUAAAAAUAUGUCAACUGGCAGAUGACACUCAAUUGUUUUUAAAAACACGCAAAGAUAUAAGUAUUGCCCUUAAUAUCAUUGAAACUUUUGGAAGCCUUUCUGGGCUCAAACUGAAUAGAAACAAAACAGAAGGCUUAUGGCUUGGCAAAUUUAAAAAGUCAAAAGAUAAAUUUGAAAAUAUAAACUGGAAACAAGACCACAUUAAAAGUCUAGGAAUAUACUUUGGAUACAAUUAUCAAGAAUGUCAAAAAUUAAACACAGAGAAACAAAUAGAUAAAUGUGAAAAAUUGAUUCAAGGAUGGAACAAACGAAACUUAACAUUAAUAGGAAAAAUUACUGUAGUAAAGUCCCUAAUUUUUCCAAACCUAACAUACACAGCAUCAUGUAUGAUAAUAACACAUGAAAUAAAACAAAAGUUCAAAAAUUUAAUAUAUAAUUUUAUAUGGAGCGGAAAAAAAGA